RNAcentral lists this transfer RNA (84 nucleotides) under Berkelbacteria bacterium GW2011_GWE1_39_12. RNAcentral describes it as "tRNA-Tyr". It matches the Rfam family "tRNA". From Rfam's summary of the family: Transfer RNA (tRNA) molecules are approximately 80 nucleotides in length. Their secondary structure includes four short double-helical elements and three loops (D, anti-codon, and T loops). Further hydrogen bonds mediate the characteristic L-shaped molecular structure. tRNAs have two regions of fundamental functional importance: the anti-codon, which is responsible for specific mRNA codon recognition, and the 3' end, to which the tRNAs corresponding amino acid is attached (by aminoacyl-tRNA synthetases). tRNAs cope with the degeneracy of the genetic code in two manners: having more than one tRNA (with a specific anti-codon) for a particular amino acid; and 'wobble' base-pairing, i.e. permitting non-standard base-pairing at the 3rd anti-codon position. Lineage: Bacteria; Candidatus Berkelbacteria. The record is from RNAcentral.
GCCAGGAUACCAAAGUGGUCAACUGGGGGAGACUGUAAAUCUCUUGCCCUUGCGGCUUCGUAGGUUCGAAUCCUACUCCUGGCA